CCUACGGGGGGCAGCAGUGAGGAAUAUUGGUCAAUGGGCGCGAGCCUGAACCAGCCAAGUAGCGUGAAGGAUGACUGCCCUACGGGUUGUAAACUUCUUUUAUAAAGGAAUACAGUGAGGCACGUGUGCCUUUUUGUAUGUACUUUAUGAAUAAGGAUCGGCUAACUCCGUGCCAGCAGCCGCGGUAAUACGGAGGAUCCGAGCGUUAUCCGGAUUUGUUGGGUUUAAAGGGAACGGAGAUGGGUUGUGUAGUAAGUUGUGAAAGUUUGGGGCUCAACCGUAAAAUUGCAAUUGAUACUGGCAGCCUUGAGUACAGUUGAGGUAGGCGGAAUUCGUGGUGUAGCGGUGAAAUGCUUAGAUAUUACGAAGAACUCCGAUUGCGAAGGCAGCCUACUAAACUGCCACUGACAUUGAGGCUCGAAAGUGUGGGUAUCAAACAGGAUUAGAUACCCUUGUAGUC
This 460-nucleotide ribosomal RNA is filed under the name uncultured bacterium. RNAcentral describes it as "partial 16S ribosomal RNA". It matches the Rfam family "Bacterial small subunit ribosomal RNA", at positions 338 to 795 of the family's 1533-position model. The record is from RNAcentral.